This is a long non-coding RNA of Ictalurus punctatus (channel catfish), 1631 nucleotides long. RefSeq lists it as uncharacterized. The record is from RefSeq and is a predicted model, not a curated record. NCBI's taxonomy places the organism in Eukaryota, Metazoa, Chordata, Actinopteri, Siluriformes, Ictaluridae. The transcript is spliced from 3 exons.
UGUCCUUCUCAUCUAGGGAUAAAAUGUUCCGCUGGCCCUUUAAGAAGCAGGAAUGUGAGUUCCCGUUCUGCCCAGGAGUAUCGCGAGAGUUCACCUGCGAGCAGCGCGAUUUACAACGCGAUGCAGGUGCUUCUUAUGAAGUUUGAGAACCGGGAAGUUCUUGUGCAUGAAGCAAGACUUUAAGUUUAAAGUCACAAUGGAGCCACUGAGCAGUGAGACUAAGCGUACUCGUCAGGCUUACAUCUGAAGACCAAACAUCUGUUGUGAAGUUCAUCGCGGAGUGGUUAUGAAGGAGCUCGUGAAUAUGAUCUGUCAUACGGUUGUAUAACUCCGAAAUCAACUCUGAUAGUGUCACCCCUUUGGUGGAACGCACCAUUAGGAGUGACUGACCUAGAUCAGACUGAGCGACUUUCCAGUAUCGGCAGAAGAUGGUCGGUGAGGAUGCAUCAUCUUCAGUCCUGGAUUUGUUCACUCGUUUCCUUGCUGUAUCUGGAUUGAUCGACCAGGAUUUCUCCAUGAUGUUUGCUGACGAAGUGUCUCAGAAGUUCCUGGCAAAGUGGUGAACAUUCUUCAAGCCAAAAAUCAUUGCAGACUGCAAGACUCUUAAGAAUAUGGGCGAGCUGCUGUCAGGAACUGAACCUGAAUCUGAGGAUUACAAUGGUCAGUAUAAACUGUUUUGUAUUUUAAAAAUGUUCCAGUCUUUAAAAAAAUAAUUAAAGAGAGAUUGCUGCAGCGAGAUUAACAGCCUUGAAGAUGUUCACAUGUUUUGUAUGUAAAUCACACCUCAGAACUUGUUUGGUUCUUUGUCAACAUUUAAAAUUUCAACAUGGUUUAUAUCCUAGCAAAAAGUUACAUUUAAAAUGUGGAGAGCCAGGUUGCCCUUUAUCAUUUUGUACGUAUAGUGGCUUCCGAAAUCACCUCAGCAAAGUACAUAGUCACACUAUUGAUCAAGAGAUUGAUACUAAUCAGGAUCUUUCCACUCGGGGAAAAUAUGAGGCGGAAUGCUCAAAUGAUCGCCCAAAUUCUGUUGCCACUUUACAUCCUUCACAAAGUCCUGUUGUUACAAGUCAGCUUCAAUGUAUGGCUCAAUUGUUGCUCAUUUGCAAGCAUCAGGUCUUUCUGAAAGUGCUGUCCAAACAAUUGUUUGUUCAAUGGAAGAAGUUGUUAAUGAUGUUAAAAUCCAAGCAUGAGAUGCAGUUCUUAAAACUGUUACUCCUGAAAGUACAAGUUCAGACACUUGUAGAAGAAUAAAUCACUGUUUUGAUCAAUUAGGUAACCUUUUUCAGCAUUAGACACUGUGUCAAGGAGACAUAAAUAUUAUGAUGAGAAAUGGGAAAUAGUUCUUGGGGUGAGAAUGGAUUUGCGCAGAGAUAGAACUACAGGCAGGUUCCUGUAACGGACAAGUGCAUGUAUGUACCCAUUCUGGGUACACUGAAAUCCAUAUUCAUUCAUUUACAGGACAAACAGAGUGGAAUUGGAGUUUACAAAGACAUUAAUGAUGGGUCGUAAUUUCCAAAACCAUACACUGUUCUCACAGCAAAAGCACGCUUUUCAGAUUCUACUCUAUUACAACGAUUUUGAAACUUCUAACCCUCUAGGUUCCAAGAGGGGGAUCCACAAACUUGGUUGUA